CGCAUCUGUGCAUGCAGCAUAUCAAUAAGCGGAGGAAAAGAAACUAACAAGGAUUCCCCUAGUAACGGCGAGUGAAGCGGGAAGAGCUCAAACUUGAAAUCUUAAAGGGUUUCCCUUUACGAAUUGUAGUUUAAAGAAGUGUUUUCUGUUGAGGUUUUGGUAAAAGUUCUUUGGAAUAGGACAUCAUAGAGGGUGAGAAUCCCGUAUUUGACCUUUACUUUCAACUUUGUGAUACACUUUCAAAGAGUCGGAUUGUUUGGGAAUGCAGUCCAAAAUGGGUGGUAAAUUUCAUCUAAAGCUAAAUAUUGGCGAGAGACCGAUAGCGAACAAGUACCGUGAGGGAAAGAUGAAAAGAACUUUGAAAAGAGAGUUAAACAGUACGUGAAAUUGUCAAAAGGGAAGCGUUUGACACCAGUGUUGUUUUUCUGAAAAUCAAUUAAAGAACUGUUUAUGCUAAGCUGUUUAGACUUUAUCAGCUAUCUGUUUAGUUUUAGGCUUUUCUUUAAUGCACUUUUCAGUUAACAAGUCAACAUCAAUUUCUUUUGCUGUAAAAAAGCUUGAGGAAGGUGGCUUGAGAUUCGUCUUAAGUGUUUAUAGCCUCUUGCCUAUGCAGUCGGAGAGAUUGAGGUCUGCAGCGUAGAUCCUUCGGGGCUAAAUGCAUUUGUGCUAAGUUAUAGCAUUUUAUAGACAACUUGUUGACUAUGAUUUGUCUUGUAGCUUACUCGCUUAUGUUAUUUUACCUACGCUUAGGAUGUUGAACGCGCACAGAGUCUC
Molecule: ribosomal RNA, 774 nt
Filed under: uncultured Neocallimastigales
Lineage: Eukaryota; Fungi; Neocallimastigomycota; Neocallimastigomycetes; Neocallimastigales
Description: partial large subunit ribosomal RNA
Rfam family: Eukaryotic large subunit ribosomal RNA
Source: RNAcentral